AGAGUUUGAUCCUGGCUCAGGAUGAACGCUGGCGGCGUGCCUAACACAUGCAAGUCGAACGAAGCACUUUUACUCGAUUCUUCGGAUGAUGGUAAUAGUGACUGAGUGGCGGACGGGUGAGUAACGCGUGGGUAACCUGCCUCAUACAGGGGGAUAACAGUUAGAAAUGACUGCUAAUACCGCAUAAGACCACGGAGUCGCAUGACUCAGCGGGAAAAACUCCGGUGGUAUGAGAUGGACCCGCGUCUGAUUAGGUAGUUGGUGGGGUAACGGCCUACCAAGCCGACGAUCAGUAGCCGACCUGAGAGGGUGACCGGCCACAUUGGGACUGAGACACGGCCCAAACUCCUACGGGAGGCAGCAGUGGGGAAUAUUGCACAAUGGGGGAAACCCUGAUGCAGCGACGCCGCGUGAGCGAAGAAGUAUUUCGGUAUGUAAAGCUCUAUCAGCAGGGAAGAAAAUGACGGUACCUGACUAAGAAGCACCGGCUAAAUACGUGCCAGCAGCCGCGGUAAUACGUAUGGUGCAAGCGUUAUCCGGAUUUACUGGGUGUAAAGGGAGCGUAGACGGCUGUGUAAGUCUGAAGUGAAAGCCCGGGGCUCAACCCCGGGACUGCUUUGGAAACUAUGCGGCUAGAGUGUCGGAGAGGUAAGUGGAAUUCCCAGUGUAGCGGUGAAAUGCGUAGAUAUUGGGAGGAACACCAGUGGCGAAGGCGGCUUACUGGACGAUGACUGACGUUGAGGCUCGAAAGCGUGGGGAGCAAACAGGAUUAGAUACCCUGGUAGUCCACGCCGUAAACGAUGACUACUAGGUGUCGGGUGUCACAGACAUUCGGUGCCGCAGCA
This 845-nucleotide ribosomal RNA is filed under the name uncultured bacterium. RNAcentral's name for it is "bacterial SSU rRNA". It matches the Rfam family "Bacterial small subunit ribosomal RNA", at positions 8 to 853 of the family's 1533-position model. The record is from RNAcentral.